RNAcentral lists this ribosomal RNA (375 nucleotides) under uncultured bacterium. Its description in RNAcentral is "bacterial SSU rRNA". It matches the Rfam family "Bacterial small subunit ribosomal RNA", at positions 28 to 404 of the family's 1533-position model. The record is from RNAcentral.
GACGAACGCUGGCGGCGUGCUUAACACAUGCAAGUCGAGCGGUAAGGCCCUUUCGGGGGUACACGAGCGGCGAACGGGUGAGUAACACGUGGGUGACCUGCCCUCAGCUCUGGGAUAAGCCUGGGAAACCGGGUCUAAUACCGGAUAUGACUCCAUGACGCAUGUUGUGGGGUGGAAAGCCUUGUGCGGCUGAGGAUGGGCCCGCGGCCUAUCAGCUUGUUGGUGGGGUGAUGGCCUACCAAGGCGACGACGGGUAGCCGGCCUGAGAGGGCGACCGGCCACACUAGGACUGAGACACGGCCCAGACUCCUACGGGAGGCAGCAGUGGGGAAUCUUGCGCAAUGGGCGAAAGCCUGACGCAGCGACGCCGCGUGA